RNAcentral lists this ribosomal RNA (253 nucleotides) under uncultured bacterium. Its description in RNAcentral is "partial 16S ribosomal RNA". It matches the Rfam family "Bacterial small subunit ribosomal RNA", at positions 524 to 776 of the family's 1533-position model. The record is from RNAcentral.
GACGUAGGGCGCGAGCGUUGUCCGGAUUUAUUGGGCGUAAAGAGCUCGUAGGCGGUCUGUCACGUCGGGAGUGAAAACCUGGGGCUUAACCCCGGGCCUGCUUUCGAUACGGGCAGACUAGAGUUCGGCAGGGGAGACUGGAAUUCCUGGUGUAGCGGUGAAAUGCGCAGAUAUCAGGAGGAACACCGGUGGCGAAGGCGGGUCUCUGGGCCGAUACUGACGCUGAGGAGCGAAAGCGUGGGGAGCGAACAGG